CGGAGGGUGCAAGCGUUAAUCGGAAUUACUGGGCGUAAAGCGCGCGUAGGCGGUUAAAUAAGUUGGGUGUGAAAGCCCCAGGCUCAACCUGGGAAUGGCAUUCGAUACUGCCUGACUAGAGUAUGGUAGAGGGAAGUGGAAUUUCCGGUGUAGCGGUGAAAUGCGUAGAUAUCGGAAGGAACACCAGUGGCGAAGGCGACUUCCUGGGCCAAUACUGACGCUGAGGUGCGAAAGCGUGGGGAGCAAACAGGAUUAGAAACCCCGGUAGUCC
This 271-nucleotide ribosomal RNA is filed under the name uncultured bacterium. Its description in RNAcentral is "partial 16S ribosomal RNA". It matches the Rfam family "Bacterial small subunit ribosomal RNA", at positions 526 to 796 of the family's 1533-position model. The record is from RNAcentral.